Molecule: small RNA, 469 nt
Filed under: Pan troglodytes (chimpanzee)
Lineage: Eukaryota; Metazoa; Chordata; Mammalia; Primates; Hominidae
Description: processed transcript
Source: RNAcentral
UGGGGACAGGAAGCUGCCCCUGGCGGGACAGGUCCUGCUGAAGUCCGGCUACGCCUUCGUGGACUACCCCGACCAGAACUGGGCCAUCCGCGCCAUCGAGACCCUCUCGGGUAAAGUGGAAUUGCAUGGGAAAAUCAUGGAAGUUGAUUACUCAGUCUCUAAAAAGCUAAGGAGCAGGAAAAUUCAGAUUCGAAACAUCCCUCCUCACCUGCAGUGGGAGGUGUUGGAUGGACUUUUGGCUCAAUAUGGGACAGUGGAGAAUGUGGAACAAGGUAAUAAGUGAGGAAGCCUUUUGGGUUUUGGAGAGAGAGAUUAUCUGUUAUUUCUUAUAGGUUAGGUCAACUCCAGAGAGAAAUAGUAAGUUCAUAUUUCUUUGAAAUAAGCUUCCUAGAGUAUAUGUAUUUACAUCUAUGUAAGAUGUAUCUUACAUAGAUGUGAGAGAUAUCUGUCUCUUUCUAUCUAUGUCUAU